This is a long non-coding RNA of Physeter macrocephalus (sperm whale), 837 nucleotides long. RefSeq lists it as uncharacterized. NCBI's taxonomy places the organism in Eukaryota, Metazoa, Chordata, Mammalia, Artiodactyla, Physeteridae. The transcript has 4 exons. The record is from RefSeq and is a predicted model, not a curated record.
GGCGGGGGGAGCGGACCGGAGGCAGGCCCGCCCGGGCCGGGGGCUCUGCGCACACCCUUGGGAGACCGGGCCGCAGCCGCUAGUUGGCCAUACGUAAACUCUCAGCGCAACCGGGGGGCUCCACGCCUCCUCCCCGCCCAGGGAGCAAGUCUAAACGGUGGCCUGUGUUCUGGACCGAAGGGAGGAGGACACUCGAUACCAUCCCCUAGAGAUAUUGCUAGACAUCCUUGUGUGCUGUGGCACGACAAGCCAGGAGGAGCCCAGCUGAGGCCACCUAAGAUGGAGAGUAGAUGGGGGCUUGAUUUUACCAUCUGCAGUCACUGAACCACCUAGAGAAUCCCAGUUUUAUUUGGAGACAGCCAGAAGACAGCCUCCCUGAGAAGGCUAGGUUCUAGCCCAUGAGAUGUAAACAGAAGUGCUGUGUGGAACAUCCAAGUACGCUGCUUAAAAGAAGCUGACUCCAUUAAAAGGCGAAAACCUGAGGCCUCGUGAGGCGCUGUUUGAGGAUUCCUAGAGGCCCUGAGGGAAUUUUUAGACCUGGCUUGCGCGUUAGAGAGAAAAACGUCGGCCUCCGGCGGAAAAUGAAGGCGAGCACUCGGGUCCGAACCUCAGGUCCGAACCAGCGCGGGGGGAAAGCCUCGACCGGACCAGCGGAGAAACCAGUGGGGCGGGGUGGGGCGGGGUGGGGCGGGGCGGGGCCAAGAUGGCGGAGGAGGCGGGUCUUCAGGAGGUGGGGCUGGAGGAAAUGGGCCGGGGCGGGGCCUGGUAGGCUACCGAGGGCAAGGAGGCGAAACCACGGGGGCCUCCAGCCUGUGGAGGCGGGGCUGGAGGCGUGUC